UUUUAACUAUUUUGCUGCUGCUUCUUCCUUAAUUUCCUUGUGAUGGUUGUUGUCUGCAAAUCUCACCUUAUAUGAAACUCGACCUCCAAACAGACCCAGCAGCUGAAGACCUCGCCACCGUCUACACCUUCCUCCAGAACUCUCUACACACGCAAAUGAACGAGAACGGAAGCGCCAAGAAGCGGCGUCGUAGAGACUCCGGCGGCAGCGAGAAGAAGAAGAAGGACCUCAAGGGAAUAAUCGCCUCCUUGUCGUUGCUCCAAGAGCAGGAGAAGCAGGACGAGCGCGACCACGACAGGGCAUCGAAUGACGACGCGUCGUUAAUAGAAGAGACGCACAAGGAGCGGAACAAGGCCAUGCUGGAGUACUACUCCGAUUUGCAGGAGUGCUACUCGGAGGUGGAAGAAUCCGAAACGAUGAAGCGGAGAAAAUCAAGCAGCGCAGCCUGUGCGGCGGUGGUGACGGCGGCGGUGUCGGCGAAAGCUGAAGGAGUCGAUCAAGUUAAGCCGGGAGUCGGGUCGGGUCACCAUCGGCGGCUGUGGGUCAAGGACAGGUCGAAAGCGUGGUGGGACGAAUGCAACCAACCGGAUUUUCCGGAAUCGGAAUUCAAAAAGGCGUUUCGGAUGGGGAAAUCCACGUUCGAUUUAAUAUGCGAGGAGCUCAACUCCGCCAUCGCGAAGGAGGACACGACGCUGCGGAACGCGAUUCCGGUGCGACAGAGAGUGGCAGUGUGCCUUUGGCGGCUGGCCACCGGCGACCCGCUCCGCCUCGUGUCGAAACGAUUCGGACUCGGCAUCUCGACCUGCCACAAGCUCGUCCUUGAGGUCUGCUCCGCGAUCCGGACGGUGCUGAUGCCCAAGUACCUGCAGUGGCCGGAGGAGAGCGCGGCGAGGAAAAUUAAAGACGAGUUCGAGGGUAUUUCGGGAAUUCCGAACGUUGCUGGGUCCAUGUACACGACGCAUAUACCCAUCAUCGCACCCAAAGUCAGCGUUGCUGCGUAUUUCAAUAAACGGCACACGGAGAGGAACCAGAAGACUUCGUACUCCAUUACUGUGCAGGGUGUGGUGGAUCCCUAGGGGCGUUUUUACCGAUGUGUGCAUCGGAUGGCCAGGAUCAAUGCCGGAUGAUCAGGUGCUGGAGAAAUCAGCGUUAAAUCAGAGGGCCAAUAAUGGUUUGCUGAAGAACGUGUGGAUUGUUGGGGGUGCUGGGUACCCUUUGAUGGACUGGGUGCUGGUGCCUUACACCCAGCAGAACCUAACGUGGACCCAGCACGCUUUCAACGAGAAGAUUGGGGAGAUUCAGAGUGUGGCCAGAGAUGCGUUUGCUAGGUUGAAAGGAAGGUGGUUUUGCUUGCAGAAGAGGACGGAGGUGAAGCUGCAGGACUUGCCGGUGGUUCUCGGGGCGUGCUGUGUUUUGCACAACAUUUGUGAGUUGAGGAAUGAGGAGAUGGAGCCCGAGCUCCGGUUCGAGCUCAUCGACGACGAAAUGGUCCCGGAGGUUCCUCUUAGGUCGACGAGCUCGAUGAAGGCUAGGGAUGCCAUUGCUCAUAAUCUAUUGCACCAUGGCCUUGCGGGCCCUAGUUUCCUUUAGGUCACACCGCUUGGCUCGUUACAUUUGCAAAUUACCGUCUGACACGUGCAAUGCAAAAAGCCGAGCGUCUCAAAAUUAUUAUUCUUUUGGUUAUUGGUUGUAAUUUGUGUGUAAGGGCUCUCUGUAAAAGGCAUACUUUGCCCCUCUACACAAAUGGAUGAAUUGUAUUUUGUAGUAGUCUUUUUAUAGGCUAAGUUAUAUACAUCAAGAACACAGAAUUGUAGCAUGA
Pyrus x bretschneideri (Chinese white pear) is the source of this 1819-nucleotide RNA transcript. It is a transcript of the gene named protein ANTAGONIST OF LIKE HETEROCHROMATIN PROTEIN 1, with no coding region annotated. The transcript has a single exon. The record is from RefSeq and is a predicted model, not a curated record. Lineage: Eukaryota; Viridiplantae; Streptophyta; Magnoliopsida; Rosales; Rosaceae.